AAUAAAUUGUUUCGAGUAUUGUUGCUCCAAGGCAACAAAAAUCAAAGAAAGAAGUCACAGAGCAAUCCAAAACUUAAUUGGCAGGAAAACACAGAGACAGGGCUGGCAAAUUGUCAGGUUCUGUCAAAGAACCAACAACCGGGACACACAUUUAGAUAUAGCCGACAGCUGGAAACACAUAAGUAUAUCCACAUGCUUAUUUUGGGUGGCUAAAAUGUGGCCUGUGCUAAAAAGGGCUUGUGCCAUGUACAUGAAUGUCGACCCAAAAAGGGAUUCUAUAUAUACAUUCUAAUGGAAAGUAUUAAGAAAAUAUUUAAGACAACCAGCAGACUGGGUCUUGGAUAAAUAAUAUCUUUGUGUCGCGGCAGACGCCAUCAGACGCUCCCCAUGGCUCCAUGGUCCCAUACGCACUCCAUAAAUAUUGGUUUACAGACAUAGACGGCCAGCCAGCAGGCAUAUAUAUGUCCUUUCCAGGCCCACCCGACUUAAUCCGAUUUGUUCAGUGUAAAUACUCCCUAAAAUGCAAAGUAGAGCACAUCAAUUUGGCAAACAAAUUAUGGCCGCAAUCAUUUUUGUAAUGAUGGGAAAAAAUCGACUUGCCUAAGGACUAAGCGGGAAACAACGAAAAAUGAAACGAAUUCGCGAAAUGAUUGGUCUAAUUUGUGGAAAAAGGCAAAAAAAUAUAUACAAAAUCGUAUUAGAAUGCAGAGGCAGUAAAUUCUCGUUAAUGAGAGGUUAAGAAAACAAUUGUUUGGUAAAAUUUAAAUGCAAGCAAAUGUUUAAGUAUCAUUCA
Molecule: small RNA, 793 nt
Filed under: Drosophila pseudoobscura pseudoobscura
Lineage: Eukaryota; Metazoa; Arthropoda; Insecta; Diptera; Drosophilidae
Description: GA31219
Source: RNAcentral